This 119-nucleotide small RNA is filed under the name human gut metagenome. RNAcentral's name for it is "Ribosomal protein L10 leader". It matches the Rfam family "Ribosomal protein L10 leader". From Rfam's summary of the family: This family is a putative r-protein leader autoregulatory structure found in B. subtilis and other low-GC Gram-positive bacteria. It is located in the 5' untranslated regions of mRNAs encoding ribosomal proteins L10 and L12 (rplJ-rplL). The record is from RNAcentral.
UAUUAUAUCAAAAGUGCCGUAGACAGCAGGUGACAUUAUGUCGUAACGGUUUUUCUACCUGCCGAGGAUACAUUGAUUUUGUAUUUACCUCCCUGUCUAUAGACAGGGAUUUUUUUAUA